Molecule: non-coding RNA, 78 nt
Organism: Cinara cedri
Lineage: Eukaryota; Metazoa; Arthropoda; Insecta; Hemiptera; Aphididae
Source: the annotation of a GenBank genome assembly
CGUGAUAUACCCUUUAGUUUCGGGCUUUUGUGGAAUUAUCGUUUAGUUCAGAAGCUCGACUCUGAAGGUACAUUACGG